RNAcentral lists this unclassified non-coding RNA (505 nucleotides) under Hevea brasiliensis (rubber tree). The record is from RNAcentral. Lineage: Eukaryota; Viridiplantae; Streptophyta; Magnoliopsida; Malpighiales; Euphorbiaceae.
GAAACAAUGAUGUGCAGUUGGCUGAUUUUGUAGAAAACGAGUACUUGCAAGAACAGGUGGAAGCAAUCAAGAAGAUCUCGGAAUAUGUAGCUCAGCUGAGAAGAGUGGACAAAGGUCAUGGUGUCUGGCACUUUGAUCAAAUGCUCCUGCACGAGGCGGAAGCUCUUGCAUGAUGGAGGAGAUAGACUUUGAACUUUCUACGAGUAGUCUUCUUUUGGAGGAUGUUGUCUGGGUAUAUUUUGGCAUUAGCCUUUUCUAUGAGAUAGAUAUGUAAGGCGUUUUGGUGAUGGAAAGUCCCAGUGCUGUAUAUAUAGACCAAAUAGAUGUAGUAAUUUGUGCUACUUAUUAGUACCCUCCUGGUGUUCAAAUCAGCUUUAAUUUACCUCAUGGUUUGCUAGUUGUAGCUUGGAAUUGAAGGUACCCCAGUGAAGUCAAAUGUAAAGUGAAGUUGAUAGUUUUGUUUUUAGUUGGAUGUUGACUCAUCUGGAGAAAUAAUAAAUAAUCG